CCUACGGGAGGCAGCAGUGGGGAAUUUUGCGCAAUGCUCGUAAGAGUGACGCAGCGACGCCGCGUGAAUGACGAAGGCCUUCGGGUCGUAAAGUUCUUUCGACAGGGAAGAAAAUGCCUAUAAGUAACUGUGUAUGUAUUGACGGUACCUGUAUAAGCAGCCCCGGCUAACUCCGUGCCAGCAGCCGCGGUAAUACGGAGGGGGCGAGCGUUGUUCGGAGUGACUGGGCGUAACGAGCACGUAGGCGGGGUUGUAAGUCAUUAGUCAAAGACUAGAGCUAAACUUUAGUAAGGCUAGUGAUACUAUAAUACGAGAGUAUCAGAGAGGAUUGCAGAAUUCCUGGUGUAGCGGUGAAAUGCGUAGAUAUCAGGAGGAAUACCGUUAGCGAAGGCGGCAAUCUGGCUGGAAACUGACGCUGAGGUGCGAAAGCGUGGGUAGCAAACAGGAUUAGAUACCCCUGUAGUC
RNAcentral lists this ribosomal RNA (465 nucleotides) under uncultured bacterium. RNAcentral's name for it is "partial 16S ribosomal RNA". It matches the Rfam family "Bacterial small subunit ribosomal RNA", at positions 338 to 795 of the family's 1533-position model. The record is from RNAcentral.